CAAUCACGUAGUAAGGGGGUCCACGUGGUUUGGAGACAUUUUCUUCCUCUCCAAGCUAAGCACUCAAUUUUUCCAGGAUAUAACCCCACACAGAGAAUAAAAUGAAGGGGGAAACAAUUAGAAGAGCAGCAACGAGUGGGGAACGGGAAUUGAACAAAAAACCAGAGGGGAUAGAGAAGAGUCAAACUGAGAGGAAUAGAGUGAGAGGGGUGACGGAAGAAACUCUAACAGGGCACUAGACACCAAGGAAGUUAGCACUCAAAUUUUUAGUUUCUUUUCUCUUAAUCUCGUCGAGCUUCACAGUAAUUUAGCUACCCUUCUUCAUCAACGGACAUCCACAUAACUCCUCUCCAUUGUUUCCAAAUAUCUCACUACCAUGUGAACUAGGAAUACCUUCCUCCGAUUUUGCUUCACCAAAAUAAAACUACAUCACCACCUUGAAUCCUAUAUUAUUAUCUCGAAUUUUCUCUGAUUGGUAAAAAGUUUCUGUCAGUUGAGCAAAAUUUUUGAAGUUGAGAUUUGGGGUGCUCAGAUCUGAGAGACAAAGAGGUCUCGGGACAGUCCGUUUUGGUGCUCGAGUUUUUUCGGUUCCGACUCCUGUUCGUACCACUAUUGCUGUAAUUGCUCGAGGCAAAUGAAAAGGACUAUGUAUCACCUACCAUUAUGGUUUGAAGAUGAAGAGUAAGUGCCAAGAGAAUUGAGAGAAUGAACCCAUAAGAUAUUGGAUGCUGAUGUUGAUGGGAUCGACGUGAGCGGGAUUUGGAGACGUACAUGUGUUUCAGUCGUAGCUGCCUCUUAUUCAUGGUAGCCUUAGAGUUAUAAAAAUCUGUUUAUGUACAUUUCGAACAUAUGGUG
Molecule: non-coding RNA, 855 nt
Organism: Nicotiana tabacum (common tobacco)
Lineage: Eukaryota; Viridiplantae; Streptophyta; Magnoliopsida; Solanales; Solanaceae
Source: RefSeq, a predicted model, not a curated record